Molecule: small RNA, 103 nt
Filed under: Epilithonimonas lactis
Lineage: Bacteria; Pseudomonadati; Bacteroidota; Flavobacteriia; Flavobacteriales; Weeksellaceae
Description: Chryseobacterium halperniae Flavo-1 RNA
Source: RNAcentral
CCGCAGCCCGACUUGAACGGAAAUCCUUUUUUGCGUGUACUCUCGUUCUAUUUAAUGUCAAAUCGUCGAGCAAAAAAGAUUGGGAGUGGAAGGCGGAUAAAGC